This 253-nucleotide ribosomal RNA is filed under the name uncultured bacterium. RNAcentral describes it as "partial 16S ribosomal RNA". It matches the Rfam family "Bacterial small subunit ribosomal RNA", at positions 524 to 776 of the family's 1533-position model. The record is from RNAcentral.
UACGGGGGGGGCAAGCGUUGUUCGGAAUUACUGGGCGUAAAGGGCUCGUAGGCGGCCAACUAAGUCGGACGUGAAAUCCCCGGGCUCAACCCGGGAACUGCGUCCGAUACUGGCAGGCUUGAAUUCGGGAGAGGGAUGCGGAAUUCCAGGUGUAGCGGUGAAAUGCGUAGAUAUCUGGAGGAACACCGGUGGCGAAGGCGGCAUCCUGGACCGAGAUUGACGCUGAGGCGCGAAAGCCAGGGGAGCAAACGGG